Molecule: ribosomal RNA, 301 nt
Filed under: uncultured bacterium
Lineage: Bacteria
Description: partial 16S ribosomal RNA
Rfam family: Bacterial small subunit ribosomal RNA
Source: RNAcentral
CAGUCGCCGCGGGAAUACGUAGGUCCCGAGCGUUAAUCGGAAUUACUGGGCGUAAAGCGUGCGCAGGCGGCUUUGCAAGACAGAUGUGAAAUCCCCGGGCUCAACCUGGGAACUGCAUUUGUGACUGCAAGGCUAGAGUGCGGCAGAGGGAGAUGGAAUGCCGCGUGUAGCAGUGAAAUGCGUAGAUAUGCGGAGGAACACCGAUGGCGAAGGCAAUCUCCUGGGCCUGCACUGACGCUCAUGCACGAAAGCGUGGGGAGCAAACAGGAUUAGAUACCCCAGUAGUCCCUGUCUCUUAUAC